AUAAUUCAAGCUUUGAAGAAAUUGAAGAGCAUCCGUCAGAAAAAAACCAAUCAAUCAAAGACCACUAAAAGCAAUAUGGUAAUAUAAGCAAAUAGAAAACAUUGAUGGAUUCCAGCUUGAACAUCAAUUGAUUUCGAGAGAUGCAAACAGAGUAAAGGAAGAUUGUGCAAAUAGGAACUUCAAACACACGAACUGCUCUCACUCGUAUUGCCCUUUGCUGGUGUUCCGGCUUGAUGUUCCUGACAGCAAUGAACAUGGAAGGCAUGUUGAAACACCAAAUAUUGCUUUAGAAAGGCCUGUAAAGUGUGAUUACUUUCGGAAGUGUCCGACCAUGAAGAAGACCGGUAUUUAUACAUACUGAAGAUUCAAAAA
Ipomoea nil (Japanese morning glory) is the source of this 372-nucleotide long non-coding RNA. RefSeq lists it as uncharacterized. NCBI's taxonomy places the organism in Eukaryota, Viridiplantae, Streptophyta, Magnoliopsida, Solanales, Convolvulaceae. The record is from RefSeq and is a predicted model, not a curated record. The transcript is spliced from 3 exons.